This 308-nucleotide ribosomal RNA is filed under the name uncultured bacterium. RNAcentral's name for it is "bacterial SSU rRNA". It matches the Rfam family "Bacterial small subunit ribosomal RNA", at positions 30 to 334 of the family's 1533-position model. The record is from RNAcentral.
AUUGAACGCUGGCGGCAUGCCUAACACAUGCAAGUCGAACGGUAACAGAGCUAGCUUGCUAGUUGCUGACGAGUGGCGAACGGGUGAGUAACGCGUAGGAAUAUACCUUUUUGUGGGGGAUAACUCGAGGAAACUCGAGCUAAUACCGCAUAGUCUCUUCGGAGUAAAGCUGGGGACCUUCGGGCCUGGUGCAGAAAGAUUAGCCUGCGUCCGAUUAGCUAGUUGGUAGGGUAAAGGCCUACCAAGGCGACGAUCGGUAGCUGGUCUGAGAGGACGAUCAGCCACACUGGAACUGAGACACGGUCCAG